GGCUCAGGAUGAACGCUAGCUACAGGCUUAACACAUGCAAGUCGAGGGGCAGCAUGGUCUUAGCUUGCUAAGGCCGAUGGCGACCGGCGCACGGGUGAGUAACGCGUAUCCAACCUGCCUUACACUCUUGGACAGCCUUCUGAAAGGGAGAUUAAUACAAGAUGUUAUCAUGAGUAAGCAUUUUCGCAUGAUUAAAGGUUUACCGGUGUAAGAUGGGGAUGCGUUCCAUUAGAUAGUAGGCGGGGUAACGGCCCACCUAGUCUUCGAUGGAUAGGGGUUCUGAGAGGAAGGUCCCCCACAUUGGAACUGAGACACGGUCCAAACUCCUACGGGAGGCAGCAGUGAGGAAUAUUGGUCAAUGGACGAGAGUCUGAACCAGCCAAGUAGCGUGAAGGAUGAAGGUUCUAUGGAUUGUAAACUUCUUUUAUACGGGAAUAAACGGAUCCACGUGUGGAUUUUUGCAUGUACCGUAUGAAUAAGGAUCGGCUAACUCCGUGCCAGCAGCCGCGGUAAUACGGAGGAUCCGAGCGUUAUCCGGAUUUAUUGGGUUUAAAGGGAGCGUAGAUGGGUUGUUAAGUCAGUUGUGAAAGUUUGCGGCUCAACCGUAAAAUUGCAAUUGAUACUGGCAGUCUUGAGUACAGUUGAGGUAGGCGGAAUUCGUGGUGUAGCGGUGAAAUGCUUAGAUAUCACGAAGAACUCCGAUUGCGAAGGCAGCUUACUAACCUGUAACUGACAUUGAUGCUCGAAAGUGUGGGUAUCAAACAGGAUUAGAUACCCUGGUAGUCCACACGGUAAACGAUGAAUACUCGCUGUAGGCGAUAUACAGUCUGCGGCCAAGCGAAAGCAUUAAGUAUUCCACCUGGGGAGUACGCCGGCAACGGUGAAACUCAAAGGAAUUGACGGGGGCCCGCACAAGCGGAGGAACAUGUGGUUUAAUUCGAUGAUACGCGAGGAACCUUACCCGGGCUUAAAUUGCAACCGAAUAUGGCGGAAACGCUAUAGCUAGCAAUAGCGGUUGUGAAGGUGCUGCAUGGUUGUCGUCAGCUCGUGCCGUGAGGUGUCGGCUUAAGUGCCAUAACGAGCGCAACCCUUGCCGAUAGUUACUAACAGGUCAUGCUGAGGACUCUGUCGGGACUGCCAUCGUAAGAUGUGAGGAAGGUGGGGAUGACGUCAAAUCAGCACGGCCCUUACGUCCGGGGCUACACACGUGUUACAAUGGGGGGUACAGAGGGCUGCUACCACGCAAGUGGAUGCCAAUCCCAAAAACCUCUCUCAGUUCGGAUUGAAGUCUGCAACCCGACUUCAUGAAGCUGGAUUCGCUAGUAAUCGCGCAUCAGCCACGGCGCGGUGAAUACGUUCCCGGGCCUUGUACACACCGCCCGUCAAGCCAUGGGAGCCGGGGGUACAAGAAGUGCGUAACCGCAAGGAG
Molecule: ribosomal RNA, 1429 nt
Filed under: uncultured organism
Description: 16S ribosomal RNA
Rfam family: Bacterial small subunit ribosomal RNA
Source: RNAcentral